CCUACGGGAGGCAGCAGUGAGGAAUAUUGGUCAAUGGGCUUACGCCUGAACCAGCCAAGUCGCGUGAGGGAAGACUGCCCUAUGGGUUGUAAACCUCUUUUGUCAGGGAGCAACGCCGGCUACGUGUAGCCGGACUGAGAGUACCUGAAGAAACAGCAUCGGCUAACUCCGUGCCAGCAGCCGCGGUAAUACGGAGGAUGCGAGCGUUAUCCGGAUUUAUUGGGUUUAAAGGGUGCGUAGGCGGAAUGCCAAGUCAGCGGUAAAAGCGCGGGGCUCAACCUCGCUCCGCCGUUGAAACUGGCGUUCUUGAGUGGGCGAGAAGUAUGCGGAAUGCGUGGUGUAGCGGUGAAAUGCAUAGAGAUCACGCAGAACUCCGAUUGCGAAGGCAGCAUACCGGCGCCCAACUGACGCUGAAGCACGAAAGCGUGGGUAUCGAACAGGAUUAGAUACCCCUGUAGUC
RNAcentral lists this ribosomal RNA (460 nucleotides) under uncultured bacterium. RNAcentral's name for it is "partial 16S ribosomal RNA". It matches the Rfam family "Bacterial small subunit ribosomal RNA", at positions 338 to 795 of the family's 1533-position model. The record is from RNAcentral.